CGGCACACGCGGGCCAUUCCCCUCCCCGCCUCGCAGUGGGGGCCGGAGGGGUUCGUCUGCUGGGCCUGGCUGGUCCUUUGGGAGAGACAAGGAAAGAUUUAAGAAGCUGAAGAGGACAUUCCUAUUCUAGCGAGCAACAUAGCGAAAGGGACUUUUGCAGUGGAGGCUGGUGACUUCCGAAUGUGGGGCCAGAGCUGGGACAGCGGACAUGGACCCUAGGCCCAUGGUUUAUCCUUCAGGAGGAUUCCAGAGGUGUAAGUAGAGGUCAGGAAGAAAUCGGGAAGGUACAAAGUAAGAGCAGAGAGAAAAGAAUCAAAUGAAAAUGGGAGCAGAAAGCUGGCAGCGUGUAAUAGAGUGGGAGAAGGAGGAGCAGAGCGUCAAGAAAGAUUUUGAACUCAAUCGCUGGCUCUCAGCGUUUCCAGAGUACUGUAACCCUUUCAGGGAUCUGAUUUGCCUUGUGUUCCCCAAGUGUCACCUCACUUAAAAACUUAAAAUCAGACCUAAAAAUACAAAAGUGUCACAGCACAUGAAGACUGAAAAAUUGCUGACUUUCACAUGUUCAUGUAAUUAUAAAAUAAAUCAAUUGGAAUAAAAAUAUUGUACUUACAUUUCAGUGUAUAGUAUAUAGAGGAGUACAAACAAGUCAGUGUAUGAAAUUUUAGUUUGUAUUGACUUCAUUAGUGCUUUUAAUCUAGCCUCUUAAAAUUAAGCAAAUAUUAAGAUAAGAUGAUGCAUGCCAUGGCAAACCUCUGCAUCCCCCUUGGGUACAUUUACCCCUGGUUCAGGACCAGUGAACUAGAGAAUACAAAGGAACUGCUUGGAUGUAACUGGAAGAAGAAUUUGGCCUUUAUAUAGCUGCCCAGCAGUUCCCACCUUCAGUUCCUCUUGCUUGUCCCAUAUUCAUUCUCUCAUUUGUUGUACAGCUGAACACACAGAUUGUACCGGUAAAUACCAACACCUGCCGUUAUGCUAGGGCAAUAAGAAACUGAAAUGGAUUUGAGACUGUACUCACUGUGUGCUCUCAUAUAUUGAGACAGAGAGUUCACUUCCAAUAGUGCUCUUCAUCUGAAUGGAAGAGUGUGUCAUAAAUCUAACUCAUUCACUAAUCAUGAGUGAAUUUAUUAGGCAUAAAAGAUGUAGUACAGGUUGAACCUCUCUAGUCUGGCACUUUGGUCCAGCAACAUCUGUGAUCUGGUAUGAUUUUAGUUAGCCGGAUGUCCACUUAUCAUAGGUGUGGCCAAGUUUCCCAUAUAAGGUUUGUUUGCAGCUACUGGUCCUGGCUCUCAGUGUUCUGUGCUGCUUUUAUCUCUAAUUUACCCCUAAUUGUCUUCUAAGAGCCCAAUAAGCAGUGCAAGUGUUGUUAAUGUUGCUAAACAAUAUCGAUCUCCUAUGAUCUGGCAAAUUUUUUGAUUCGGCACCGGUCAGGUCUUGAGGGUGCUGGACUAGAGAGGUUCAAACUGUACUGCUGAUAGAUAUGUAUCAUGUGGGAGGUCAGAUUAUCUGCUCUAGAAUGGUGAGAAUCCUGUUCCCUAUGAGCUGAAAAAGGGUUAGUUCAGGUUAGCUAGACACACCUGAGGCCAGCUAUGGGCUACCAGUGACCUUUAAAACCCUCUCUUGUGCUGAGAGAGGGGAGGAAGACAAGCCGUGGAAGGGGAUUCUCCUAGAAUGCUGUUCUCCUUCCUGUGAAACAGCCAUUGUUAAUGGAUUGUUUGGGGGAAGGAGUGGCACCCACGGGGCAGCAUGGUGAGGCAACAGCCCAGGUUGGAGGCAGGGAAAGGUGUUCAGCUUUUUGAGUUAUGAACUUGUUUUGUUUGGCUUAAGAGUAUCCCUGAGGCCCGCCUUGUAAAAAUGGAGGAAUAAAAAACCUGAGUGAGGAAUAAAAAACCUGUCUACAGUGGGACUGAUUUACUUGCAGCUGUCUCCAUCACCAGAGGGGAACUGUUGUGACUGGAGAGGUCAAGGAGGGGCCCUGCCAUGCCAUCAGUGGGGGAAAUGAUGUGAAAUAAUUUAGACAGAUAAACUAAAGUAACUAUUUAUAUUUUACAUUACGUUCAUUUGCCCUUUUAUCAUAUCUUUCACCUGAGGACCUCACAGUGCUUCACGUAUAUUACUUAACUAGUGAACGUGUAAAAAUGACAUUAUGUGAUUUCAUGCUUAUCGUGUCUCUCUUAUUUCACAGCAGAUGUGUUCAGUUUACAAAUGCAGGCCUCAAAAUCUGUUACAUUUGUUGCAGGGGCAGGGACUCAGGCUAUAAAGAUAUUUUUUCCCCUAACUGCAAACGCAUUAGGAUCUGAGAUCCAAGCUGGUUUCUUUUGUUCUUUCUUCAUCAUCACCACUAUUGAAGAUUCUGCAUUCCUCUGUACAAUUCCUACUUUCUGGCUAUUGGGAAUGGGGGAGGAGAGAAAAACAAAAAAAGUAUGAAAAUAUAGUAUGGAUGUUGUGCAAACCAAAUAUGGAAUCCUUUAGUACUGUUUUCAUAGCGUCACUUUUCAAAGGAGAGACCCCUUUAAAAUGAUCCAGAUGGAUCCCGUACAAGGCCCUGAUCAUCUCCAAACCUAUAUCUUUGCUUAACAGUGAGUACUUGAAUAGUCCCACUGAAUUGUUUGUAGGCUCAGAGCCCAAAUCAUUUAGGUUAUGUCUGCACUGCAAUAAAACACCUGUAACUGGCUCAUACCAGCUGCCUUGAGCUUGUGAGUCUAUAAAAUUGGAGUGUAGAUGUUCUGGCUCAGACUGUAGCCUGUUUUUUGGGAUGCGGGAGGGUCUCAGUGCUUAGACUCCAGCCCUAACUCAAAUGUCUACACUGCAGUUUUAUAGCUCUGCACCCUGGCCCUAUGAGGCUGAAUCAAUAGCGGGGGGCAGCAAUGGGUUUUACUACAGUAUAGACAGUCCUGAUGGGGAGAUGAGCUGUGGAAGAGAGAGUAAGAAUGAAAGGAGAAGGUAGCUCACUCAGCACACAAGAAGUGAGGCUGUUCCAAAUAUAGGAGGCCACGUGAAAAUAGGAAUGAACUGAAGAGUAGGAAAAACUUAAAAAACAACAGAUAGUCUAGUAGCACCUCCUACCUGAAGAAUAGGUGGAGACUGAAGAGAGGCCUGCCUGGAAAACAAAUGCUUAGGCGCACAUAUGUAAGUGAGAGCUUACUUGGCAGCAGAAUCUAUGUAGGGCCUUGCAGAUGAGGAUGGGGAGACUGAAUAUCGGCUGAAAGAGAGUAAACUCAAAAGGGGUCAUGAGGGCAUGCUGGUAAAAGUUAGUACUGCACCUUAUUCACUAUGCAAGGAUAUAUGGUCUGCAGCUUUUCUAGCCAUAAGCACAGUAACUUCCCUUAUUUCAACUUCAAAUGCAAUAAUAAAACCUGGUUUGUUUGAUAUUGCUUCCUAAUGAUUGAGGUGCUGAAAUGUUGCCCCCCCCAAAAGUUGUCUUGGUGAUAAGAAUAUUUUUUUCUUCAGAUAAAUGAAAUAAGUUGAAGUUUUUCCAGUUUCAGAAUGUUCCUACUCAAGUAGA
This is a non-coding RNA of Pelodiscus sinensis (Chinese soft-shelled turtle), 3499 nucleotides long. Lineage: Eukaryota; Metazoa; Chordata; Testudines; Trionychidae. The record is from RefSeq and is a predicted model, not a curated record.